RNAcentral lists this non-coding RNA (29 nucleotides) under Mus musculus (house mouse). Lineage: Eukaryota; Metazoa; Chordata; Mammalia; Rodentia; Muridae. The record is from RNAcentral.
UACACAAGGAAAGCUGCCCACUUUGUGGC